Molecule: long non-coding RNA, 1207 nt
Organism: Cavia porcellus (domestic guinea pig)
Lineage: Eukaryota; Metazoa; Chordata; Mammalia; Rodentia; Caviidae
Exons: 3
Source: RefSeq, a predicted model, not a curated record
GAAGAGAUCACGUGAGAAAAAAAAAAAAAAAAAAAGGAAGGCAGAGGGCCCGGAGCGGCCAGACUCAUUCUUUCUUAGCAAUCCAUUCUCAGAAAUUAAGCAGAGUGCCAAGGAACGUCGCCAGCCCCCUGUGCUGGCACACUCCCAGUGAUCUUAUCAUCUUCCAGCAAACCCUAAGUCCUCUUAGCAUCACCACACUGAGGCCCAACCUUCCAAAGCACGAACCCUUAGGAACAAGCCACAGCCAAACCACGGCAAUCUGUUCGACCUUCCCCAGCCAACAACAGUGAGUCCAGUCCCAUUGGCGCCCCCAGUUCUCUGACCUUUCUUCUCCCGCCACCUUCCCCUGCGUUGCUCUGACCUCAACUGGAGAAAGUCUCCUGUUUGUAAGAAGAGCUCACUUGAUUAGAUUGGCUGCCUGUGUAACCUAGACGACUCUCCCCAUCACAAGGCAAGGUCUAGAAGAAAAAAUAUACCUUCUCAUUAAGCAAGCUCUGCUAUGCUGAUGGGUAAGAGCUUCAACCAGAAGAGAAACCAAGCCUUCCGAUGAAGCAGGCUCUGCCAUGUGGAUCAGAAAGAACUUCAGCCAAAAGUCAAACCAUGCCUUCCCAAAAGGCAGGCUCCACCAUGCUGAUAGGUAAGAGCGUCAGCCAGAGGAGAAACCACGCCUUCCCGUGAGCCAGCUGGUGUGCAGGCUGAAAAACCAGCAGAGUGCUCCCCACCCUCCUCCCCCACUGAUUCGGAGGGCUCAGGGUGAGAUGAUAGCAACUGAGGGGAAGGGAAUAGCUCGAUGUUUGUAUCCUUCAGUUGAUUCUCUGGGCCUGGGACUAGUGGUCUGGGCAUCUAUUUGGAGGAUGGCAGUGUGCAUUGUGUCAACUGUGGGGGAUUUCCUCCUGUCUUGUUUUUGAAAUCAAGUGGGUUUUUUUUUCCAUUUUACUCUUUUAUUUUAUCCCUGUGUCUAGUAACCUGAGCAACUAUUUUGAAGAUAACGAUGUACAGUAUUGUUCUCACUGUUUUGUUCGGAUUUAUGGGUGUUUUUAAUUCAAUGUUACAUUUUGACUGGUUUUAUUCUGUUUUGUUAUGUUUGCUUUUGCUUUGUCUGAUGGUAUGAACAACUGUUGUGAAGACAGCAAGGUAUAUUAUGGUAGCCACUGUUGAUUUCUAUUUAUUCUAUUUUAAAGUUCUGUACCAUUUUCACUGCUUUGUU